UGAAAAUGUAAGUAAAAGAAUAAAAAAAAAUGAACGGAAGCACCAGUUGCCGGAGAGGAAGAAGAAGAUGGAUGAUUAGUCGCUUGAAGGCCUGCAAUACUGGUGUAAACCAUCAAAACUACCGGUAAUGAGGACUUCAUGGACGGCGGGAAACCUAGGAAGACGAUUCCUAACCUGUCAGUAUUGGGGUGUAAGUUUUUUGAGUGGAUUGACCCAGAGGUGUGUGAACGUGGAAUGGAAAUCUUGCUCGAAUUACUUAGGAAGAAUCAAAUGUUACAGAGGGAUAUUAAUUCGAUUUCUGCAGCUUUACUUUGUGUACUAGUCGAUAAUGUGACUUUAGUUUGUCAACAUGUCUUGAAAAUGUUAGGUUAGAUUGCGGAGUUGUGAACUUGUGAAUUUAUGAUUUAUGAGCAGUGUAUUGUAAUUGUAUACAAAUUAAUAUAACCUUCCUUCUUA
Humulus lupulus (European hop) is the source of this 456-nucleotide long non-coding RNA. RefSeq lists it as uncharacterized. The transcript is spliced from 2 exons. The record is from RefSeq and is a predicted model, not a curated record. Lineage: Eukaryota; Viridiplantae; Streptophyta; Magnoliopsida; Rosales; Cannabaceae.